This is a long non-coding RNA of Numida meleagris (helmeted guineafowl), 9054 nucleotides long. RefSeq lists it as uncharacterized. The transcript is spliced from 3 exons. The record is from RefSeq and is a predicted model, not a curated record. NCBI's taxonomy places the organism in Eukaryota, Metazoa, Chordata, Aves, Galliformes, Numididae.
AAGACCCAGGCUGCAGAGGGUUUUUGGCUGAAUUGUUGAGAAAAAUCCUGCAUGAAUUGAUGACAAGGUUUCUUUCAGGCUAGUAUUAUCAUUAUAUGAGUUCAGUCUGAUUUCUAUCUUUGCCACUAGUAUAAGAAUUUAUUAAUAAGGGUUAUCAGUAGGAGGCAGGAUAGCAGAAGAGAUGGGGAGUUUUUUAUCUGUAACUUGCUAUUUCAAAUCCAGUUCUGCUCAGCAGUGACUGGUAGUUAUUAGUGUCUGAUAUUUCUUAGUAGGCCCUGCAUGAAACAAAUUAGUAGAUCUUUCAUUCAAUUCACUCUCAGAAAAAAACAUAAACCAUAAUUGACAUUAAUUAGAUGCCUCAAGUGCUGUCUUGCAGAGAGGGGAAAAAAAUGAUAGUGACCACGCUCUCAUAUUUCCCCUGAAUCAUCAACAGCGUUCACAUAGAGGGUCUUUGUGGAUCAGGUUGGGUGUAUAACGGCAUCCUAAGCGGUAGAUUGGAUAAGCUUAUCCUGCCCUGAUGUAAAUUUAAAUGAGAUUUUGAUACCCUGUGCUCCAGGGAGGCUAGCACCGGUUUUGUUUGGCUAGAGAGCUGGCAAGAUAUCACAGCACAACCAUCCACUACUGGUGCCAGCUCCUUGGGAGACGGGACCGUUACUCCAAGAGUAGGUAUGUGAUGGUAAGUGUCUGUUCCUUCUGCAGGACCCCAGCUGGCUCAGAGUCUCAGCCAGAGCGAGGAACCACUGAAUACCACAGAUGACAACAGACAGUUUUCAAAAGAGAGCAUGAGUAUAGACUCAGAAGCUGGUAGGAAUGGCUUUUUGUUGUUGUUCCUGAAGUGACUAUUGGAGAAAGUGUGGGAGAACUCUUCAGUUUAUAACCAGAGAAGGUGGAAGUUUGAAAUUAAUUACCAGCAAAUGAAGAUCUCUCCCUCUCCUCUUCCUUUCUCUUCCUCUCCUUAUGGACACAUUCUUUGUUCUGCUGUACUAUGGUGGCCUGUUUGUUUCUUUGGCACCUUUUUGCUGCAAUUUUAGGACCCCCUGGAAAAUCUCCCAUUUACACACCUUUUCACCUGGAUAUGGUCCCCGAAGGAGGCCUCCUGCACACUGUUUGCUUAGGCAUCUGUGCACUAUAAUAUAUGUCUAAUUGAAAUUGCAUUAAUGGUAUGAUUCCAUUACAGGCAAGCAAGAUGCUUACUUCAAGAACACUCCCAGUGGGCCCUGAAUCAGCUGCAAUAGAUAAUUUAUAAAGUGCUGUGGAUCUUCUCAGAGCUCCAGUGUUAAGUACAGGAGACACAGGGCUAUUCAUUAUUAACAAGAUAUUAUGCUUUUUGCUCAGCAGAAAGCGUGGGUCUGGGAUGAGCUAAGGUCUAUCAAAGGUGAGAUUUGAGACUGCCAGUUUGACUGAACUAUUCCUCAGACAUUACCUCUAAGUCUAUGCCAGCUUUUGAACUCUCUUUGAAAGAUAACUUUCACAUCUCUGUUCUGACCUGAUAUUCCAAGAGUUCUCUUUGGAUUUGCUUGCUUUGCAUUUUAAGCUUUGUGAAAAGAUUGUGAGUGGAAAGAACUACUAGCUGCUUUUUAGUUAGGCCAGUGAUAAAGGAGCCAGUUAGGCUCCCCUGAACCCAGCCUUCUGUCAUCACAAACUUGAGUUUCCCUCCCUAUUCCCACAUUUUUGCAUAUACUUGUAGCCUGAAUCUUCAACAAGUUUUUGGUAGCCUAUACCAGGGAUAGCAGUUUUCCGACAGGAAGAAAGUUGUGGUCUCCAGCAGUGACUUUCUAGUGUGAUGAGCAGUGAGAAGGUGUAAGGGAACUGUUAUGUCACAGCCUGAACUGAUGAUUGAGCACCUGGCAAAGGGGAACGGCUGGGCCAGGGAGCACAGGUGCAAGCAAUUUACCUGUUUCCCACAUGACCCAGGGUCCACCCUCCCCCUCCCUGAGCUCAUUUAAGGGUUAGCCUCUGAAAGAAGAAUGUUUUCUGGGUGAGGACUACUUCCUGAGAAGGACUGUGAUGUAGCCAGAGCCUCUCCUACUGGUUGGGUAAGGAGAAGUAGCUAAGACCAGUUGAAGAUGGUAGCCCAGAAUCCAAACAUAGGAUCAAACAUAAGAUAAGCUUCUCAGUUCUUACCUGGAGAUAGUUAUCUUAAUUGAACAAGAUGCACUAUUUUGGCUGGGAGCUGGGUAGAAAAUGCACAGAGCUGGGAGGCUCAUCAGGAGCAGCAGCCCCUUUCCACCCUGAUAACCACCAUGAAGGAGAGGUAACCCUGACCUCUGGAUUCAUGUCAGUGCAUCAUGCACAGUUCCUGGAAAUUGCUAGCCAACAACAGUAAGGUAGCACAGAAGCAUUCCUGCCCUUCAACCAGAACUGCACCCUGUGAGCUUGCCUGGUGUUUCAGGAAGCAGAGGCAACUGUAUGUGAGGCCAGAGAGUUUGCUCAGACAUUUCUAUAGGAUCAGAACUGAUGUGACUAGGAAUUGUGUGCUCAACUGCAGUAAGAGAUGUAAUGAGAGCAAGCCGAGCAGUGCUCCCAUGCCUGCCUCUUCAUGUAUCCUGAGCUUCCACGUAGCAUCUGUUUAUUUGACACAAUCUAGAAAAUGUAAACAGUUAGUUUAAAAUUAGAAAACCUCGAGGGGACUGAAGAAAUAGAAAUGCUGUAGAUGGUUGGGCUUACAAUAUAUGCUCUUUUACUGAAGGAGGCACAAAGAUGAAUGUGGUGGGUUGUUUUUCACUAAGCGUGUGAAUAAUGUGAUGAAGUGAGAUGAGCGUGAUGUGCUGCUUGCCAGCAGUUCGCAGAGACUGCUUACUCUGGUAUGCCACAAAACCAGCUAUUUUCAGCUGAGGGGAGAGUUGUGCACUGGCCAUGUGGUCUGUGAAUACUUCAGUACUGUGCUGGCUUGUCCCCAGCUAACAGACAGGAUCUGUAUCAUGAUCAUUUCUUGACUGAUGCUUCAUCUCUUUGGGGGAAGGGGCAGUUGUUCUCGUCAGUAAAGUGUAGGAAAGAGGAUCACAGUAUGCAGCUUAAGACUUCUAGAGGACAUGGCAUUAGAGGGAAUAAACUAAUUGAAACUUCCUGUCACUCUGCAUCUCUGUAUCUGAUCUACUACAUUGGUUCCGAAGACCUUGCCACCUUUAACUGCAAAUUGAUAAGAGGAGCAGCCCAAGUGUAAUUCCAAAUCUGAACGCGCAUGGAAGAGUGACUCUGGAAAGAGAAAGCAACCUGCCAGGCUGGGUCUGUGCAGGUAACAAGGGAAGCAAACGUGGCCCCUUGGAACUCCCUUCGGAUCUCCUCUUGCCCAACCUCACAAAUGCAAUGGCAUGUUAGUGGCAGGGAAGCAGUAAAUAAUUGUAUUCCACUCUGGGCUCCAGGCUGCAGCAAUCAGGCCCUCGGGAAUUCCGACUUCUCCAGCUCAGCUGAAAGAAUUACUACAGCAGACUUGAGGGGGUUCCGCUUCAUAUCCCAGCUCCAUCACUUCCCUAAUUACUUCCAUGUGUAUUUGUGCAAGGCUGCAUGUUGCUGGGGGUCUGCAGGUGGCACAGUGACCUUUGGGCUGUAGGUGGGUUUCCACGCUUCGCCAUAUGUUGCACGAAUGAGCCCAGCACUCAGAAGGCAAUUGUAAGCAUGCAAGGCCAAGCAAUCUCUCUCUGUACAGUGACUGAUGGAUUCUGUUUCUCUGCCCUCGCUUUUCCCUUUAUGCUUUCUUCAGCUGUGACAGAAGAAGGAAUUUCUGGCCUUAGAUUAUAAUGUUUAAUUAAAAAGAAGAGCCUUCAUGUGAAGAUAGCUUGUUUCCUUAGCUUUGAUGUUGGUGCCUGUGGGAAAUAGAUGAGCUGGAAGAGCAUGCUGGGUAACAAAAUGUAAAUGAGCAACUUCACGCAUUCUCCCGAGUUGUUCAAAUCUCAGAAUUGGUAGAACCAGAUCUGUGCAUUUUCCGCGUGAAUUCUAUUGCACUUGGUGCUGAUUGUAGUUUCCUGCAGCUCCCUCAGAAGGCCUUCCCAAAGGGGUUUUGGAGUCUAUUCUUCCCUGCAGGGAGGCUGUGCAGGAAGAAGAAAAGGCAGCAGUGGGUGCACAACCUGCUCAUCAGUGAGCCCAGGAAGCACUGAGCACUGCGGUGAGCCUGGGGCUCAGCAACUGCCUAUUGCUUUUGACUAAUGGCUCUUUGAGUGUGAUUUGGUCAUGCCAUGGAAUAUUUCCCCCUCAUUUCUGCCUUUUAUCAUCUUAAUCUUUUGACAGAAAAAAAACCUGACUCCUGCCUCUGGUGGGGUAAGCCAUGUUCCCCCCUCAGGGCUAUGUGCAUCCUGCUUCCUGGCUUCACUGGCUCUGAUUCUCCCCACAAUGACUGCGUGUCCUGGCACUUGCUUGCCUGCUUUCUGCUGCUGAGUUGCCACCGAGAGGCUGCAGAAGUCCCUGCCCGGUGGCUCAGUGGGCCUGGCCACAGAAGGCUGCUCAGGUACCCUGCUGCCUGAAUGUCAUGUGGAGGAAGCCUGAGGGGAUAAGCUGUGCUAGGGACAGCUGAUUUUACAUGGCCAGCAGCUUCAGGACGACUCCCAGACGUGGGUCUGUACUGUCUCUGAUGGUAUGUGUAGGUGCAGCACGUGUGGCUGUGAAGAUCUGCCAACAAGAUGCCUCCCAUCUCAUUUUAGCUGUGUUCUUCCUUUGGGCAAGUCAGGUUAGGGAAUUCCUCUUUGAUGUGGGAUUUCUUCUUAGAAGCAUGCACCCGAUAGGUGAUAUACCUGAGCAGUGUGUCCCAUAAAUCACAGCACUGACAACUUUAGCAGGGAAAACGCUUCCUGCACCUUCAUGUCCAGGGUGGCUGAAGUGGUUCAGAGCCUUCCAGGCAGUGUGAUGUGGUCUCUGCAGAGUGGCUCACAGAAGUGCUUCAGCUGUGUAGUUUGUGAUGGUCCUGCGCAUCACUGUGGGGGGGGAACACUAUGAGUUGAUCUUAACCACAUGGUUUAGUGGGCAUGGUGAUGGAUCAACAGCUGGACUAGAAGAUCUCAGUGGUCUUUUCCAACCUUAAUGAUUCUAUGAUUCUAAGCUCAUGCAAGUUUUCUUCCCCAGGAUUCUAGCUGAGGCACUCUCCUACUUUCCCUAAGAGCUGAACAGUGGGAAAGUCAGGAAAGUGGCCCAAAGAGCAUCACUGAGCACUGUAACUGUGUGACAGAGUCCUUGGCCAGAAGCAUUCUGUUCUGCAGGGUCAGGUUCCCUGCUCACCUUGCAGAACAUCUGGGAUCCUGGCUGUUCCCUGAUUGUAUUUGUGGGUAGGCUGCAUCAGAGAGGACAUGCGCAGAGGAGAGUGUCUGAGUGGAUUAGGGCUGUUUCAAUCUAUUUGUUUUCAAAUAUGCUCUGUUUGGUUUGGGCCAUGUGGGGUUUGUUUGAUAAAGGAAGAACCAUUCUAAUUGAAUUCACUGGGUCAACGGCAGUUCACCCGGGGGGGAAGGGCAAGGGCUCUGCCAGGGACCUGCUGUUGGGCAGGAAGCUGCAAGAGCUUGGCCUUUCAUCCUGGCAGAACCCAGGGGUCAAGUCUCCUAGCAAGACUCACACCGCAGAGUGAUGCCCACUGCCUGAGAAACUCCUGGCUCUGACAAGGCUUUCACCUGAUGUGAGAGGGUAACGUGAGCUCAGGUCGAGCUGCUGGGCCUGGUUAUUGGUGGGGAGCGAGGGGCCCAAGGGAGCUGAAGAAAUCUACUUAAUUGUUUUCAAGCUUCUCCUUUCUCUGUGCAAAUCUUAUCCAAAGGGGUCCGCUGAGCAGCAGCAGCUGCCCUGGAGGCUUCCCUGGCCCAACAUCUCUGCACUGCUGUGCUGGCUGUGGUGUUUCUAAGCCAGAGAAAGGGAAACACAGGCAAACAGGGAAGGCAGGAAGCAAAUGAGUAUCUGUAUCGCAGAGAGGAGAUGGGCCCACUGUGACUUAAAGCAAGAGGCAAUGCAAAUUACUGUAUAAAAAAAAAAAAAUCAUUGAGAAGAGGAUCUUUCAUUUAUCUGCUGGAAAUUGCCACAGGCUGUGUUGAAGGGCAAAAUCUAUAGCUCUGUGUCUGUGUCCUAGUGGGGAAUAUUCCAUCUGCCCCAGUAACCUCUCUUAAUAAUCUCCACUGGCUCCAGGGGAGGCUGGCAGUGCGCACUGAGCACAGCUCUGUCUGAUGUGAUUGCCCUACAAAUGGGCAGUGAGCACAGGAGCAGCGGGAGUCCCUAAUUACUUCCACAGAACAUAAAUCCAUGAUGGCUUUGACAGCUCCUGGAGUAGAGAGCAGCGUCCCACUGCCUGAUGCACCUCAUGUCAGAGAACAGCUGGCUGAAAUCCCACCUCCAUCAGCAGUACCACCACUGCUAUGGGAGGAAGGGGAGAAGCAGGAACACGCCAACAAUCUGACAGUUAAUGCUGAAAUUGCUAGGAACUAGCCUUACAGAUCCUGGAACUUUAAUGCUAUCUGCAUAUCAGUGUGUUCAGAAAGCUGUACCUUUCCUCCUUGGCCCAUGAUUCGUGUUCUGUAUGUAAUGUUUCUGCUAAGGACAUGGUCUGACAUGUUCAGUGAGAGUGCCUUGUUAUUGAGAAGUCAUGCUAGAAUAUGAAGUUGCUGGUCACCCAUUCACUGGGGACUCAGCUUCAUUAAAGUGGUGGAUUCAAUUAAUGCUCAGAACAGGACAAAUCCUGUAAAAUAAGUCACGAGUCUGCACUCCUUUUCCUCUUCCAUAAUUACCUUUUAUAGUGAUCCUGCUAGAGGAAGCAAGCUUUAAUGAACGUGCCUGAUUGAUGAGGAAACCCAUUGUGAAUGGAAAAACAACAGUUCCUCCUGCCUACUCUGGGAGCCACUUGGCCUUCCUGUUGUACAUGGCCAUAUUCCAGUGUAAAUCCACAGGUAGGGAUAAAUUGCUUUGGUGUAGGUUUUUCUUAGUUUCAAGUGAUAUGGUAUGACAAAGCAUUUGAUCUCCUGAUGCUGUUGGCAAGGUGUUGUUGAGGCACAGUGACAUUUGCUUUCUGGAUACAGACUCUGCUCACAUCAUCCAAGUAUGUAACUGGUUGGUUGUUUUCUUCCUGCAGAAAAAGAGUAUUGGUAAUUUGACUGACAGAAUUUAACUAAACCUUGGAAUUCCUGCAGCCUCUUGAAUAUGUAUCUAAAUCUCACAGUUUGGUCAUAUCCAUAAUGUAGUGGAAUUACUUUAGUCCUUAUGGAAAUGCAGUUUCCUUUGGGUGAAUCACGGUAGAUUGGCAAAACAGUGUUAAAUGACACUCUGGCAGGAAGUAAAGAGGAUAAUAUUUCACUGAAGGAAAAUUGCAGGAAGUCAGUAGAAUGUCUGUUAUCUUAGCUGGAGCUGGCAUUUGGCCUGGUUACUAAAGAUAACACCUUUUUUUUUUUUUUUCUCCAAGUCUUGUCACUUGCUGCUUUAUGACCAAGUGUCUUGAUUUACCUCUCAGAACACCUCCAGCCACAGGGCAUCACCAGAGCCCGGCAGUGACUCAGGGCUUCUCAACAGCAUAGACGAGGUUGAAUCUUUCAACCUCUAAGAUGAGAGACUGGGGCAAGACUGCCUUUUCCACAGGCAAGGAAAGAGUAAGAGGAGGGUAUCCAACUGUAAUUGCAGGCCGAAGGAGAGAACACUGGGGGAGUUCAGCUGCAGCUGCCAGGCACCUGAGAGCUCAGGUAAGUGAGGGCUCUACCUGUUUGGAAUAACCUCAGGUUCUGGCCUGCAGCCAUAGGCACAGCCUCUCCUGAGCACUGGCAGGGAUGGAGGAAGCAGCAUGCUGUCCCUGUGCAGGCUGCUGUCAUAGCAGCUGUUUUCCUUGUUGCUGUGAUUGCCAUCACACUAAUGUUGGGAAUUCUCAUCUGGAGUCAAAGAAGAAAAUGACAUCUGAGUCACAAGCCAUUGUUGAGAUCUAGAUUUAUUUUCCAAGGCCCUGGAGCUACAACCUGCUUGGUUUCUGGGACUGAAAGGGACUGCCUCCCCCAAAAGCUGUGUGCACAGUGUGGUUAGUGAUCACUUGCAUGUUUCUGAUUUUUUUUUAAAAUCAGGAAUAGGAGUUCUAGAAAUUGAUGAUUCUGGAGGUAUAUUUUGUGAGUUGCACCAUGCCCAUCCUGCUGAGCACUAAGAAAACACCGCUCUUGCUUCAUAAAGGGCUGAUGGGGUUACUGGGGAAAGUUACUUGUCAAGGGACAUGUAUUUGCUCUGCAGCCUGUAAAGCAAAAAGGUUAUCUCUCCAGCUGAUACUCUCAUAAAUCAAUCUCUGACGGAGUCCCUGCUGACUCUGACAGGCUGUGGCAAGAGCUUACAACUUCUCUUGGUGGAGGGGGGAAGUUUCCUCAUCUCUACCACGUACAUAUCCUCUGACCUUGAUAGCAGCUCAUCUCAGGCCGCUGAUUUCAAAGAGCUCAGAACUGGGUGUUUUGCUGCUUUGGCGUUUUUGCUCAUACAACUCUAUUGAACUCUUUCACCGAUUUCCUUGAACUUUUUUCUCUCUGUUGCCAAAAUGUCAUGUGUGCCUCUGGGAUGCAUUCCAACUUGCAGUUGCAGAAGUGGGUCACUCUCCACACGGACACAAAUGCAGUCUGUUGCAGAUGCCCAGGCUGUCAGCAUAGCACUCAGGGGACUUGAGAAGUGCGAUCCCAGCCUGUUGCUUUGAAAGAUUCACGGUAUUGCCGAUCUGCAUUAACUCUCUUGUUUGUUCUCUCUGUCAGUCUACAAAAAGGGAUCUUUAAUGAUCGCCCAACUAAAGAUGAAUUAUUAAUUUCAGAUGCUGAAGGAGAUUUGUGUCAGAGCCCAGCUUUGGCUGGUUGACUUACACAGAGCUUAAAAGCAUCUAGCUCAUCUCCCUGCCUUGUUCUGUAUUCUGUGCCAUUUCUCUCACUGCCUCAGGGCAGAAUGUUUCAGAAAGUUGGAGUGGGAAUAUUUUUAUUCAUCCUGUUACAUGAAGUUAAUCUCGUGUAGCAAAGCAGCUGUGUAAUGUUUUGUAUUAAAUCUCGUGUCUUCCCUUGGGUGUGAUUAAAAUUCAGGUGAAGGGUUUUUUUAAUUUUAUUUUUAUUUCCCCACUCCUGAAGUUCUCGAGAGGCCAUUAGGCUUCAUUCUUAAUAG